AACGGGGGUCAAAAUAUAAUUUAAAAAAGUUAUACUACGUCAGCAGCCCGGUCAGUAGCUUCGACCGACUAGGACGUGCUAGGUGGCAGAGACACUGACGUGGGAUGCCAUGCAAGGGAGCCACGUGGGUGAUCCACGUGCGUACGAUCGAACAACUGAGAUCCGUUCUCCCGCGCACGGACGACCCAAAUUGAAUCGCGAUGAACGAUCCAGGUUCACUCCCUAUUUAAUCGCGAUAGGACGGUUCAGAUUAAAAGCGAUGGAUGGCCCAGAUCAAAAGUAGAUGG
Molecule: long non-coding RNA, 287 nt
Filed under: Carica papaya (papaya)
Lineage: Eukaryota; Viridiplantae; Streptophyta; Magnoliopsida; Brassicales; Caricaceae
Description: long non-coding RNA (CPAP_LNC003474)
Source: RNAcentral